This 492-nucleotide ribosomal RNA is filed under the name uncultured bacterium. Its description in RNAcentral is "partial 16S ribosomal RNA". It matches the Rfam family "Bacterial small subunit ribosomal RNA", at positions 29 to 507 of the family's 1533-position model. The record is from RNAcentral.
AGUGAACGCUGGCGGUAGGCCUAACACAUGCAAGUCGAACGGCAGCACAGUAAGAGCUUGCUCUUACGGGUGGCGGGUGGCGGACGGGUGAGGAAUACAUCGGAAUCUACUUUUUCGUGGGGGAUAACGUAGGGAAACUUACGCUAAUACCGCAUACGACCUACGGGUGAAAGCAGGGGAUCUUCGGACCUUGCGCGAUUGAAUGAGCCGAUGUCGGAUUAGCUAGUUGGCGGGGUAAAGGCCCACCAAGGCGACGAUCCGUAGCUGGUCUGAGGGGAUGAUCAGCCACACUGGAACUGAGACACGGUCCAGACUCCUACGGGAGGCAGCAGUGGGGAAUAUUGGACAAUGGGCGCAAGCCUGAUCCAGCCAUACCGCGUGGGUGAAGAAGGCCUUCGGGUUGUAAAGCCCUUUUGUUGGGAAAGAAAAGCAGCAGGUUAAUACCCCGCUGUUCUGACGGUACCCAAAGAAUAAGCACCGGCUAACUUCGUG